GGAAAUGUGAAGAAUGCCAAAGAAAUGGAAAAAUGAGGACAGAAAAGAAUACUACUACCUGGUUUCUGUGCCCAUAGGUCAAGCUGGAAAACAUUUUUCCAUAAAACCACGUGCAAUUUUAUGACACAGGUGAAAGAAUAGCCCAAAUCCACAAGUUUGGCUUUUUAUCCCAGUAUGUUGGAUGAUUUCCACAAAAAUCUUUCAAAAAGAUGAUUGAUGUUGAUGUCUUUAAUGCAACAACAUGGAGACAUCAAGUGGAGUUACAGCUACUUGUGA
RNAcentral lists this long non-coding RNA (276 nucleotides) under Macaca mulatta (Rhesus monkey). Its description in RNAcentral is "lncRNA (ENSMMUG00000053947.1)". The record is from RNAcentral. Lineage: Eukaryota; Metazoa; Chordata; Mammalia; Primates; Cercopithecidae.